CCCAGACUCCUACGGGAGGCAGCAGUGGGGAAUAUUGCACAAUGGGGGAAACCCUGAUGCAGCGACGCCGCGUGAGUGAAGAAGUAUUUCGGUAUGUAAAGCUCUAUCAGCAGGGAAGAAAAAAGACGGUACCUGACUAAGAAGCCCCGGCUAACUACGUGCCAGCAGCCGCGGUAAUACGUAGGGGGCAAGCGUUAUCCGGAAUUACUGGGUGUAAAGGGUGCGUAGGUGGCAUGGUAAGUCAGAAGUGAAAGCCCGGGGCUUAACCCCGGGACUGCUUUUGAAACUGUCAUGCUGGAGUGCAGGAGAGGUAAGCGGAAUUCCUAGUGUAGCGGUGAAAUGCGUAGAUAUUAGGAGGAACACCAGUGGCGAAGGCGGCUUACUGGACUGUCACUGACACUGAUGCACGAAAGCGUGGGGAGCAAACAGGAUUAGAUACCCUCGUAU
RNAcentral lists this ribosomal RNA (447 nucleotides) under uncultured bacterium. RNAcentral describes it as "bacterial SSU rRNA". It matches the Rfam family "Bacterial small subunit ribosomal RNA", at positions 330 to 793 of the family's 1533-position model. The record is from RNAcentral.